RNAcentral lists this unclassified non-coding RNA (328 nucleotides) under uncultured Minimedusa. RNAcentral's name for it is "sequence contains ITS2". Lineage: Eukaryota; Fungi; Basidiomycota; Agaricomycetes; Cantharellales. The record is from RNAcentral.
AACGCACCUUGCACUCCUUGGUAUUCCGAGGAGUACGCCUGUUCGAGUGUUAUGAAGCUCUCAAAACGCAAUUGGCUUAAAAUCUGAUUGUUGUUUUGGAUUUGAACUUUGCCGUGUUAUAACGGCUGGUUUUAAAAGUAUUAGCUGGUACUAGAACGAAUUGGUUCUACUCAACGUGAUAAUUAUCUGAUCGUUGAGGACAUUCCUUUCACGAGGAAUGGCCAUAGUAAAUUCAAUGGACUGCUUCUAAUCUGGCUUUAAUUCUUUAUUGGAUUAACCACUUUUCAAAUCUGACCUCGAAUCAGGUGGGACUACCCGCUGAACUUAA